Molecule: non-coding RNA, 73 nt
Organism: Stegodyphus mimosarum
Lineage: Eukaryota; Metazoa; Arthropoda; Arachnida; Araneae; Eresidae
Source: Rfam
GCUUUCGUGGUGUAAUGGUCAGAACACUCGACGUGUAUUCGACAGGUCCGAGGUUCGAGUCCCAGCGAGGGCA